Molecule: ribosomal RNA, 505 nt
Filed under: uncultured bacterium
Lineage: Bacteria
Description: bacterial SSU rRNA
Rfam family: Bacterial small subunit ribosomal RNA
Source: RNAcentral
GAUGAACGCUAGCGGCAGGCUUAACACAUGCAAGUCGAGGGGCAGCGGGGUGUAGCAAUACAUCGCCGGCGACCGGCGCACGGGUGCGUAACACGUAUGGAAUCUGCCCUUUACUGGGGGAUAGCCCGGAGAAAUCCGGAUUAAUACCCCAUAACAAGCGAGGUGGCAUCAUCUUGCUUUGAAAGCUCCGGCGGUAAAGGAUGACCAUGCGCCCGAUUAGCUAGUUGGUGAGGUAAUGGCUCACCAAGGCUACGAUCGGUAGGGGGCCUGAGAGGGUUAUCCCCCANACUGGUACUGAGACACGGACCAGACUCCUACGGGAGGCAGCAGUGAGGAAUAUUGCGCAAUGGAGGCAACUCUGACGCAGCCAUGCCGCGUGCAGGAAGAAGGCGCUACGCGUUGUAAACUGCUUUUAACCGGGAAGAAACCCUCCGACGUGUCGGAGGUUGACGGUACCGGAGGAAUAAGCACCGGCUAACUUCGUGCCAGCAGCCGCGGUAAAGUA